AACAUCAUCGUCUAGUGGUUUAGGAUACCAUAUUUUCAUUUCUAUAGAAAAUCUCUGCGGGCCGGAGUUCGAACCUCCAUGAUGUCU
Xylaria palmicola is the source of this 87-nucleotide non-coding RNA. NCBI's taxonomy places the organism in Eukaryota, Fungi, Ascomycota, Sordariomycetes, Xylariales, Xylariaceae. The record is from the annotation of a GenBank genome assembly.